GACGUAGGGCGCGAGCGUUGUCCGGAUUUAUUGGGCGUAAAGAGCUCGUAGGCGGCUUGUCGCGUCGAAUGUGAAAUCCCGAGGCUCAACUUCGGGCUUGCAUUCGAUACGGGCAGGCUAGAGUUCGGUAGGGGAGACUGGAAUUCCUGGUGUAGCGGUGAAAUGCGCAGAUAUCAGGAGGAACACCAAUGGCGAAGGCAGAUCUCUGGGCCGUAACUGACGCUGAGGAGCGAAAGCAUGGGGAGCGAACAGG
Molecule: ribosomal RNA, 253 nt
Filed under: uncultured bacterium
Lineage: Bacteria
Description: partial 16S ribosomal RNA
Rfam family: Bacterial small subunit ribosomal RNA
Source: RNAcentral